AGAACGAACGCUGGCGGCGUGGAUAAGACAUGCAAGUCGAACGCGACUUACAGCGAUAGCAAUAUCAUUGUAAGUUGAGUGGCGAAAGGGUGCGUAACACGUGGGAAUUUACCAAAAAGUGGGGAAUAGCUCGACGAAAGUCGAAUUAAUACCGCAUGUGAUCGAAAGAUCAAAGCCGGGGACCGCAAGGCCUGGCGCUUUUUGAGAAGCCCGCGGCCCAUCAGCUAGUUGGCGGGUAAAGCCCACCAAGGCUAUGACGGGUAGCUGGUCUGAGAGGACGACCAGCCACACUGGAACUGAGACACGGUCCAGACACCUACGGGUGGCAGCAGUCGAGAAUUUUUUCACAAUGGAC
RNAcentral lists this ribosomal RNA (355 nucleotides) under uncultured bacterium. Its description in RNAcentral is "SSU rRNA". It matches the Rfam family "Bacterial small subunit ribosomal RNA", at positions 26 to 376 of the family's 1533-position model. The record is from RNAcentral.